GAUGAACGCUGACAGAAUGCUUAACACAUGCAAGUCGACUUGAAGCAACUUCGGUUGUGGAAAGUGGCGGACGGGUGAGUAACGCGUAAAGAACUUGCCCUUCAGUCUGGGACAACCAUUGGAAACGAUGGCUAAUACCGGAUAUUAUGGAACUCUCGCAUGGGAGGAUCAUGAAAGCUAUAUGCGCUGAAGGAGAGCUUUGCGUUCCAUUAGCUAGUUGGUGAGGUAACGGCUCACCAAGGCGACGAUGGAUAGCCGGCCUGAGAGGGUGAUCGGCCACAAGGGGACUGAGACACGGCCCUUACUCCUACGGGAGGCAGCAGUGGGGAAUAUUGGACAAUGGACCAAAAGUCUGAUCCAGCAAUUCUGUGUGCACGAUGAAGGUUUUCGGAUCGUAAAGUGCUUUCAGUUGGGAAGAAGAAAGUGACGGUACCAACAGAAGAAGCGACGGCUAAAUACGUGCCAGCAGCCGCGGUAAUACGUAUGUCGCAAGCGUUAUCCGGAUUUAUUGGGCGUAAAGCGCGUCUAGGCGGGUUCAUAAGUCUGAUGUUAAAAUGCGGGGCUCAACUCCGUAUUGCGUUGGAAACUGUGAAUCUAGAGUAUCAGAGAGGUGGGCGGAACUACAAGUGUAGAGGUGAAAUUCGUAGAUAUUUGUAGGAAUGCCGAUGGAGAAGUCAGCUCACUGGAUGAAUACUGACGCUAAAGCGCGAAAGCGUGGGUAGCAAACAGG
RNAcentral lists this ribosomal RNA (730 nucleotides) under uncultured bacterium. RNAcentral describes it as "bacterial SSU rRNA". It matches the Rfam family "Bacterial small subunit ribosomal RNA", at positions 28 to 776 of the family's 1533-position model. The record is from RNAcentral.